Molecule: ribosomal RNA, 497 nt
Filed under: uncultured bacterium
Lineage: Bacteria
Description: partial 16S ribosomal RNA
Rfam family: Bacterial small subunit ribosomal RNA
Source: RNAcentral
GAUGAACGCUGGCGGCGUGCCUAAUACAUGCAAGUCGAGCGAACGGACGAGAAGCUUGCUUCUCUGAUGUUAGCGGCGGACGGGUGAGUAACACGUGGAUAACCUACCUAUAAGACUGGGAUAACUUCGGGAAACCGGAGCUAAUACCGGAUAAUAUUUUGAACCGCAUGGUUCAAAAGUGAAAGACGGUCUUGCUGUCACUUAUAGAUGGAUCCGCGCUGCAUUAGCUAGUUGGUAAGGUAACGGCUUACCAAGGCAACGAUGCAUAGCCGACCUGAGAGGGUGAUCGGCCACACGGGAACUGAGACACGGUCCAGACUCCUAAGGGAGGCAGCAGUAGGGAAUCUUCCGCAAUGGGCGAAAGCCUGACGGAGCAACGCCGCGUGAGUGAUGAAGGUCUUCGGAUCGUAAAACUCUGUUAUUAGGGAAGAACAUAUGUGUAAGUAACUGUGCACAUCUUGACGGUACCUAAUCAGAAAGCCACGGCUAACUACGUG